UAAGGUUGGCGGGAGACAGUA
Molecule: non-coding RNA, 21 nt
Filed under: Caenorhabditis elegans
Lineage: Eukaryota; Metazoa; Nematoda; Chromadorea; Rhabditida; Rhabditidae
Source: RNAcentral